UCUGGUUGAUCCGCCAGUAGUUAUAUGCUUGUCUCAAAGAUUAAGCCAGUGCAUGUCUUAAGUACACACGAAAUUACAACAGUGAAACCGCAAAAGGCUCAUUAUAUCAGUUAUGGUUCAUUAGAUCAGUUAAUCAGUUACUUGGAUAGAACUGGUGGUAAAUUCUACGAGCUUAAUCAUGGCAUUAUAAACACGGCCUUUGGGAGUGUGCUGUUUAUUAGGCUAAAACCAAGCGAUCGCAAGAAUCGAUACUUUGGUUGAACUCCUAGAUAGAUUGCACGAUCGUAUGGUCUUUGUACCGACGAUCAGAUCUUUCAAAUGUCUAGCCCUAUCAAGCUUUUGAAUGGUAGUAUGCCUAGGGACUACAUGGUUGCAACGGGUAAACGAUCAGGGUUCGAUUCCGCUAGAGGGAGCCUGAGAAACGGCUACCAACAUCUAAGGAGAGGCAGCAAGGCCGCUAAAUUACCCACUCCCCAGCUCGGGGAGGUAACGUGACGAAAAAAUAACAUACAGGACUCAUAAUAGAGGACCCUGUAUUGGAAUGAGUAACAAAUUUAAUCCCUUACACAAGGACCCUAUUGGAGGGCAAAGUCUGUGCCAGCAGCCAAAGCGGUAACUCCAGCUCUCAAAUAGCCGUAUAUUAAAGUGUUGUUGCGGUUAAAACGUUUUUUUCGUCAGUUGAACUUGUGCUUCCAAUAACGGGGUAUAUAGCUAUAAAAUUGGUAGUUUGUAACUAUACCUUUAAUGUAUGUAAAGCGUAUUACCGGUGGAGUUCUUAUAUUGCGUUAAAUAUGCUUGUAAUUUGCGUAUGUUCCUCCCCUUUUUAAAACCCUGCUCAGUGCCUCUUCAUCGAGUGUUGUUGUGGACCGGUACAAUUACUCUUGAACAAAUUAUGAGUGCUUAAAGCAGGCUCCCAAAAAUGCCUGAAUAUUUUUGUGCAUGGAAUAAUGAAAUAAGAACGCUCUGUUCUAACUUUCAUUGGUUGUUAGAUCAGAGGUAAUGAUUAAUGAAAGCAGUUAUGCAUUAGUAUGUACGUAUACGCAGUAGGUGAUAAAUCUUCGGAACCUGUCCGUAAAAGACUAACUUAUAUGCGAAAGCAUUUGCAAAGAAUGUUUCAUUAAUCAGAACGAAAGUUAGAGGUUCGAAGGCGUAUCAGUACCGCCCUCAAAGUUCUAACCAUAAACGAUGCCGAGCUAGCAAUUGGGUGUUAGCUAGAUUUCAUGGCUCUCUCAGUCGCUUCCCCGGAAAACCAAAAGCUUUUGGGCCCUGCGGGGGAAAGUAUGGUUGCAAAGCUGAAACUAAGGAAUUUGACGAAGGGCAGCCACCAAGGAAGUGGAGGCCUGCGGCUUAAUUUGAACUCAACACGGGAAAAACUUACCAGGUUUCCGAACAUAAGUGUGUAAGCAGAUUGAAUAGCUCUUUCUCGAAAUCUAUGGGUGGAUGGUGCAUGGCCGUUCCUUAGUCGUGGAGUAUUUGUCUGGUUAAUUCCGAUGAACGAACGAGACCUCAAAUAUAUUCAAUAUGAUGCUUUCCAGGAUUAUGGUGUUGAAGCUUUUUAUAGCCUUCAUCGCGACCCGCAGUAAAAGUGUUAAGUGUUUGAAUGUGUUAUAGAAAGUGGAAGAAGCCGUAACCCUGUUGGUUUGUCCCAUUUAAUAAGGUCACUAGGCUUCUUAAAUGGACAAAAUUGCGUCUCCAUGGUAAGAUCAAGAUUGUUAUGUCAUAUGUUUAUUAAUGCCUAUAUGGUAAAGAAGUUUGCAAAAUUUGUUAUUGUUUAACCCUUCGCUUUGCAGUUCG
Molecule: ribosomal RNA, 1794 nt
Filed under: Haematobia irritans (horn fly)
Lineage: Eukaryota; Metazoa; Arthropoda; Insecta; Diptera; Muscidae
Description: SSU rRNA
Rfam family: Eukaryotic small subunit ribosomal RNA
Source: RNAcentral